AGAGCCGGGUGCGCUUUGCGACAGAGCCGUAAAGGCGCGCGGGAACAUGGGGCUGUACGCUGCGGUGGCAGGCGUGCUGGCCGGCGUGGAGAGCCGCCAGGGCUCUAUCAAGGGGCUGGUGUACUCCAGCAACUUCCAGAACGUGAAGCAGCUGUACGCGCUGGUGUGCGAAACGCAGCGCUACUCCGCCGUGCUGGAUGCCGUGAUCUCCAGCGCCGGCCUCCUCAGUGCGAAGAAGCUGCAGCCGCACCUGGCCAAGGGUAGGGGCGGGGCGGGGAAGUGAACCCCGACGGUCAGCGCUUUGUCAUCUGGUUUCAGCCCCGCUGCCGUGCACGGCGGGACUGGAGCAAGUCGCUCACCUGAAAUGAGUGCUAGUGUAUGAGUUGUUGGGAAAGGGCUUUCGAGGGGGUGGGGGCCAAUGGAAGGCUCUGUUGGGACGGCACCAGGCGAGGUGUUGAGUUGGCUCGGCUCAAGGUUCUUCGGGGUGUGAGCUGGCAUGA
Homo sapiens (human) is the source of this 500-nucleotide long non-coding RNA. Ensembl annotates it as NSUN5 pseudogene 1. Its record names the gene NSUN5P1. The record is from Ensembl. Lineage: Eukaryota; Metazoa; Chordata; Mammalia; Primates; Hominidae.